UACGGGGGGAGCAAGCGUUGUUCGGAUUUACUGGGCGUAAAGGGCGCGUAGGCGGCGCGACAAGUCACUUGUGAAAUCUCCGGGCUUAACUCGGAGCGGCCAAGUGAUACUGUCGUGCUAGAGUGCGGAAGGGGCAACUGGAAUUCUCGGUGUAGCGGUGAAAUGCGUAGAUAUCGAGAGGAACACCUGCGGCGAAGGCGGGUUGCUGGGCCGACACUGACGCUGAAGCGCGAAAGCCAGGGGAGCGAACGGG
Molecule: ribosomal RNA, 253 nt
Filed under: uncultured bacterium
Lineage: Bacteria
Description: partial 16S ribosomal RNA
Rfam family: Bacterial small subunit ribosomal RNA
Source: RNAcentral